UGCCUCUGCUUCCCGAGUGCUGGUAUUAAAGGCGGUCCUGGCCUAUUCAGAGUCUUUUUUUAACGCGCAUUUUAUUGAAAGAGCCAUCGCCUUCCCACUGAAGGGGAACCGAACAGCUACUUCCAAUUACUUUAUCCACAAGAGACGAACAUUUCACGCAGCUUCUACCAUUUCAGUCUUCCCUGGCUCUUUUUCCAGUCCACAAGCAGAUCUGGUGUCGGGAAAUGGAGAAGCAGGAGGGAAGACAGCAUCAAGGUGCCCACAGAAGUCAGAAGAGGGUGGUGGAUUCCCUAGAUCUGGGAUUACAGGCAGUUGUGAACUGCGUGACGUGUGUGCUGGGAACUGGACUCUGCUCCUCUGCAGGAACACCAACUGUUCCUCACUGUUCACUUCCUGUUGCCUGUGGAUCAAAGAGGUAGAAUCCUCCAGCACC
Long non-coding RNA from Peromyscus maniculatus bairdii (prairie deer mouse), 433 nucleotides. RefSeq lists it as uncharacterized. Lineage: Eukaryota; Metazoa; Chordata; Mammalia; Rodentia; Cricetidae. The record is from RefSeq and is a predicted model, not a curated record.